Molecule: ribosomal RNA, 549 nt
Filed under: Cicindela (Rivacindela) sp. JP-23
Lineage: Eukaryota; Metazoa; Arthropoda; Insecta; Coleoptera; Carabidae
Description: partial 16S ribosomal RNA
Rfam family: Bacterial large subunit ribosomal RNA (bases 118-477)
Source: RNAcentral
GCAUAAUUAUUAGUUUUUUAAUUGAAAGCUUGUAUGAAGGGUUGGACGAGAUGAAAUCUGUCUUUAUUUAAAUUAAAAUAUAAUUUAACUUUUAAGUAAAAAGGCUUAAAUGUUUAUAAAAGACGAGAAGACCCUAUAGAUCUUUAUUUAAUUAAAAUUUUAAUAAUUUAGGAUUAUUUUAAUUUAAAGUUUUGAUUAAAUUUUAUUGGGGUAAUAUAAAGAUUAAAUAAAUUCUUUUUAUUUAUAACAUUAAUUUAUGAAUGUAUGAUCCAUUAAUAUUGAUUAUAAGAUUAAGUUACCUUAGGGAUAACAGCGUAAUUUUUUUGGAGAGCUCGUAUCGAUAAAAAAGUUUGCGACCUCGAUGUUGGAUUAAAAAUUAGCUUGGGUGCAGAAGCUCAAGAUUUUGGUCUGUUCGACCAUUAAAUUUUUACAUGAUCUGAGUUCAGACCGGCGUAAGCCAGGUCGGUUUCUAUCUUUAUUAAAAUAAAAUAUUUUAGUACGAAAGGACCAAAUAUUUAAUAUAAUUAUAUUUAUUUUUUGAAGAAUAUU